AACUGCGAAUGGCUCAUUAUAUAAGUUAUCGUUGAUUUGAUACUGCCUUUCCUACAUGGAUAACAGUGGUAAUUCUAGAGCUAAUACGUGCAAACAGCCCCGACUUCGGAAGGGGCGUAUUUUUCAGACCCAGAACCAACGCCCUCACGGGCUCUCUGGUGGCUCAUGAUAACUCCACAGAUCGCACGGCCUCUGCGCUGGCGAUGGCUCAUUCAAAUUUCUUCCCUAUCAACUUUCGACGGUACGGUCUUGGCCUACCGUGGUUGCAACGGGUGACGGAGGGUUAGGGCUCGACCCCGGAGAAGGAGCCUGAGAGACGGCUACUACAUCUAAGGAAGGCAGCAGGCGCGCAAAUUAUCCAAUCCCGACUCGGGGAGAUAGUGACAAUAAAUACCGAUACAGGGCUCUUUUGGGCCCUGUAAUUGGAAUGAGUACAAUUUAAACCUCUUAACGAGGAGCAAUUGGAGGGCAAGUCUGGUGCCAGCAGCCGCGGUAAUUCCAGCUCCAAUAGCGUAUAUUAAAGUUGUUGUGGUUAAAAAGCUCGUAGUCGACCCUCGGGCUCGGCCGGCCGGUCCGCCUCACCGCGUGCACUGGCCUGGCCGGGCUCUUCCCUCUGCGUAGCCGCAUGCCCUUCACUGGGCGUGCCGGCGAGGCAGGACUUUUACUUUGAAAAAAUUAGAGUGCUCCAGGCAGGCCAAUGCUCGGAUACAUUAGCAUGGAAAUAAUGAAAUAGGACGUUUGGUUCUAUUUUGUUGGUUUUUAGGACCGCCGUAAUGAUCGAUAGGGACGGUCGGGGGCAUCAGUAUUCAGCCGCGAGAGGUGAAAUUCUUAGACCGGCUGAAGACUAACUACUGCGAAAGCAUUUGCCAAGGACGUUUUCGCUGAUCAGGAACGAAAGUUAGGGGAUCGAAGACGAUCAGAUACCGUCGUAGUCUUAACCAUAAACGGUGCCGACUUGGGAUCGGGCGCUGUUCUUUCUAGACGCGCUUGGCACCAUUUCGAGAAA
This 1006-nucleotide ribosomal RNA is filed under the name Ascotaiwania lignicola. Its description in RNAcentral is "SSU rRNA". It matches the Rfam family "Eukaryotic small subunit ribosomal RNA", at positions 85 to 1097 of the family's 1831-position model. The record is from RNAcentral. Lineage: Eukaryota; Fungi; Ascomycota; Sordariomycetes; Savoryellales; Savoryellaceae.